UACGUAGGGUGCAAGCGUUAAUCGGAAUUACUGGGCGUAAAGCGUGCGCAGGCGGCUUUGCAAGACAGAUGUGAAAUCCCCGGGCUCAACCUGGGAACUGCAUUUGUGACUGCAUGGCUGGAGUGCGGCAGAGGAGGAUGGAAUUCCGCGUGUAGCAGUGAAAUGCGUAGAUAUGCGGAGGAACACCGAUGGCGAAGGCAAUCCCCUGGGCCUGCACUGACGCUCAUGCACGAAAGCGUGGGGAGCAAACAGG
This 253-nucleotide ribosomal RNA is filed under the name uncultured bacterium. RNAcentral describes it as "partial 16S ribosomal RNA". It matches the Rfam family "Bacterial small subunit ribosomal RNA", at positions 524 to 776 of the family's 1533-position model. The record is from RNAcentral.